AGUGAACGCUGGCGGUAGGCCUAACACAUGCCAGUCGAACGGCAGCACAGUAAGAGCUUGCUCUUACGGGUGGCGAGUGGCGGACGGGUGAGGAAUACAUCGGAAUCUACUUUUUCGUGGGGGAUAACGUAGGGAAACUUACGCUAAUACCGCAUACGACCUACGGGUGAAAGCAGGGGAUCUUCGGACCUUGCGCGAUUGAAUGAGCCGAUGUCGGAUUAGCUAGUUGGCGGGGUAAAGGCCCACCAAGGCGACGAUCCGUAGCUGGUCUGAGAGGAUGAUCAGCCACACUGGAACUGAGUCACGGUCCAGACUCCUACGGGAGGCAGCAGUGGGGAAUAUUGGACAAUGGGCGCAAGCCUGAUCCAGCCAUACCGCGUGGGUGAAGAAGGCCUUCGGGUUGUAAAGCCCUUUUGUUGGGAAAGAAAAGCAGCAGGUUAAUACCCCGCUGUUCUGACGGUACCCAAAGAAUAAGCACCGGCUAACUUCGUG
This 492-nucleotide ribosomal RNA is filed under the name uncultured bacterium. Its description in RNAcentral is "partial 16S ribosomal RNA". It matches the Rfam family "Bacterial small subunit ribosomal RNA", at positions 29 to 507 of the family's 1533-position model. The record is from RNAcentral.